AUUGAACGCUGGCGGCAUGCCUUACACAUGCAGGUCGAACGGUAACAGGUCUUCGUUUGCUGACGAGUGGCGAACGGGUGCGUAAUACAUCGGAACGUGCCCUAUCGUGGGGGUUAACGCAGCGAAAGCUGUGCUAAUACCUCAUACGAUCUACGGUUGACAGCGGGGGAUCGCAAGACCUCGCUCGGCCGUAGCGGCCCAUGGCAGAGUAGGUAGUUGGUGGGUUAAAAGCUUACCAAGCCGACGAUCUGUAGCUGGUCUGAGAGGACGACCAGCCACACUGGGAGUGAGACACGGCCCAGACUCCUACGGGAGGCAGCAGUGGGGAAUAUUGGACAAUGGGCGAAAGCAUGAUCCAGCAAAGCCGCGUGAAGGAUGAAGGCCUUCGGGUUGUAAACUGCUUUUGUAAGGAACGAAAAAGCUCUCUCUAAUACAGGGGGUGAAUGACGGUACCGGAAGAAUAAGCACCGGCUAACUACGUG
RNAcentral lists this ribosomal RNA (482 nucleotides) under uncultured bacterium. RNAcentral describes it as "partial 16S ribosomal RNA". It matches the Rfam family "Bacterial small subunit ribosomal RNA", at positions 30 to 507 of the family's 1533-position model. The record is from RNAcentral.